GACGAACGCUGGCGGCGUGCCUAAUACAUGCAAGUCGAGCGAACAGACGAGGAGCUUGCUCCUCUGACGUUAGCGGCGGACGGGUGAGUAACACGUGGAUAACCUACCUAUAAGACUGGGAUAACUUCGGGAAACCGGAGCUAAUACCGGAUAAUAUAUUGAACCGCAUGGUUCAAUAGUGAAAGACGGUUUUGCUGUCACUUAUAGAUGGAUCCGCGCCGCAUUAGCUAGUUGGUAAGGUAACGGCUUACCAAGGCAACGAUGCGUAGCCGACCUGAGAGGGGGAUCGGCCCCCCUGAACCUGAGACCCGGUCCAGCCUCCUACGGGAGGCAGCAGUAGGAAAUCUUCCGAAAUGGGCGAAAGCUUAACGGAGCAACGCGGCUGGAGUGAUGAGGUUCUUCGGAUCGUAAAACCCUUUUAUUGGGGAAGACCAAAUGUGUAGUUACCGAUGCACGUUUGACGGGAACCUAAUAAGAAGCCACGGCUAACUACGUG
This 496-nucleotide ribosomal RNA is filed under the name uncultured bacterium. Its description in RNAcentral is "partial 16S ribosomal RNA". It matches the Rfam family "Bacterial small subunit ribosomal RNA", at positions 28 to 507 of the family's 1533-position model. The record is from RNAcentral.